Lophiostoma macrostomum CBS 122681 is the source of this 75-nucleotide non-coding RNA. The record is from the annotation of a GenBank genome assembly. NCBI's taxonomy places the organism in Eukaryota, Fungi, Ascomycota, Dothideomycetes, Pleosporales, Lophiostomataceae.
GCACCCGUGGCACAAAUUGGUUAGCGCGUGGGACUCAUGAUUCCAAGGUUCCGGGUUCAAGUCCCGGCGGGUGCU